GGCUGGGUCAUUGCAUGCUGGCUUUGUUAAACAAAACCGGUGGAGAUUGAUUUGGUGGAGAGAUUUUCUUGUCUUCUAACUCGGGAGCUGGUCCCUGUGAUAAUUGUUGGAACCCAAUCGAGAUUCUUUCUGCGCUGCAAUAAUUUCAUAUCUAAUUAAAAACAUAGACCACAGGUUAAAACGUAAGGUACAAAAUGGAAGUGAGCAAAAAUAGGAGGGCUUGCUUAGCUUUAUACACUUUUAAUUGACACAAGCAUCCUAAUUAAUGUAUGCUAUAGUAUAGGAAUCUUCAACUAGCACCGAUAUAUCUUCUUCAAUCUCAUCAACGAGUUUUUUUUGUAACUUAGCACAAUUAAAUUUAUUGAUAAAAUAACAUAGACGAAAUAUAUUUUUAGGAAUUUAGCAUAUUUAAUUGAGUCGUAGAUAUCAUGUUCAACUCGCGAGUUGUAAAUGCCAAUUGUGACACGUAAGUCGCAUAUAAAAUAUAUGACACACAACUCGAUUAAGAGACACAUCCAAGAACAAUUUCUUCAUCAAUUAACUCUCUACCCAAAAAACCCCACAAUUUAUACACUUUAAAUAACAAGUUUUCUAGUCUCAAAACACAAUUCACAUAAACAACACAUAACAUAUCCAAUUCUAAUUAUUAAAACUAGACUGAUGAUUAACAUAACAUAACACAAUAUUUUAUUAAAAUUAAACUAACUAUGCAUCUAUUUAUAAUUCUCAUAACAUAUAAUAACAUGUGACUAUAUCUAAUAAUCGUCCCAGCUCAUGGAAAGGCCCAGAGUGCUUGUGGACGGGUUUAAAACACCACCCCAACUCAUCUAACUCAAGGACGGGUCUGUAACAUUUGUGUAGCGGUGAGGAGGACCAAUAUCACCUCAUCUCGUGGAUGAGCCUGAGAUGUUCGUGGAUGGACCAACAUCCCUAACACUCCCACUAUAAGCAAUCUUAUCUUUCGUUAAAUUUGCUUCAAAAUGCUCAACCUCCCUAACCUCUUGAAUUCCAUCACGACACAAAAUUGAACAUAGUGUUGGCCACAAUACAUCCCAUCUCAUUGAUGCCUUCACGGAUAGUCAUUGCUGUUUUUUGAGCCUCUCAUACCAAGUAAUUAAUCUAUAUACAUACAUUAAAAACUAAUUAGUAGUCAUCAUCUAUAAUGACAUUAACACUAUUUAAUAAAUGUUAUCUGUAAAACAAUAUUGUAUCCCAAUCGAUUAUGCUCAAAUAUCAGGGGGCAUAAUGCAUCGGAUUUUGUGAAAGCCUCGGGAAACGCGACCGAGUAGGUGUAAUAAAAUAGUAUGUAAUAGUCAAAUACCAUCUCAUGUAGGUAUCUACAUCAAUAGUUAGAUGUCACUUCUAAAAAACAUGAUCUCUCCUAAAAUCCCAAAUAUGGAGGUAAGAUGCAUAAAUCACCAACCAAUUUUCCUCGUGCUUACCCUAAUGACUAAUAUUAUAAAACUCAUCAUUGAUAUCAAUAUAAUUCAAUAUAUGUUAAGAUAGUCCAAACUGAUGUAUUACCCGAUCUGGGUAAUAUAUCUUAACAAUGUCAAAGCAAUGCAACAAGACUUGUGCUGACCAAAUGUCAGAUUCCUCACGGCAUAUAGACAAAGUUGAAAGUAUCAAGUCCUUUAUAUAUGACAUCUAUUUAACCUAUCAGAACAUAUGAAAAGACUUAUAUUAGAUAACAAGUCAAAACUAAAUAAUUGACAUUAAAAUAAUAAAAAAUAUAAUAUAUUUGUAACAAAUACCUAAUGUGGUUGUUGCAAUUCCAACUCAUCUUGGUAGAAUUCGUGAACAUAAGUGGGAUUUAUUGUGAAAUGUCUAGCUUCGAACCAUCUAAAAUAACAAGCCACAAAGUUAGUACAUUUCUUGCAUUCAAUUUAUAUAAUAACAUUUUGAUUAGAAUCAAUUUUAUUUUAUUAUUACCUAGAACCAGUAGGUAGGGGCCUCUAAGUGACAAUGUCAAACAUAUAAUUACCCCAACUCUUUGGAUAUCUGAUAUGAAUAUACUCUCAUGACCAGAGCAAUAUUAAUCAACAUUGACAAUUUUAAUUUAGUAUUUAAAAUGCCAUUAAUUCAAACAAUAAAAGAAUUUAAAAAUAAUUGUACCUAGAUAUAUAAUAGACACCCAUAAACUUUUCUUUAUUUUUUAGACAUGUUUUACAUAAAUUUUUUUAUAGAUAUAUGUAAGCAUGGCCCCCUGUCUGUAAUUAGAAAUGACCCUAUCUUCCUCAGAUUCAGGAGCAAAAAGAGUUAUGUAUUGAUCAAUAGGCUCAACUAACUCAACAUCCUUAUCUUCCUUAUCUUCUUCAUCUUCAUUCUCAACCUCAAUACUAUCAAUAUGAUGGUCAUCUUUUUCUUUACUUGGUUUGGAUUCUCCAUAACAAUAUGGAGCAAACAUCAUAUCUAACUAAGGUUUCAUAUUAACAAUUUCUUAUACCAUCAUUCAUCUCAUUGCAUUACCACCCAAAGUUAUUAAACUCUGCCUAGGGAUUGACCCAAGUUAGUCCGGGAAAAUUAAAAAAUAUAUGUUUGAGGUUUUAAUAUCCCACGUGAAAAUAUUUUGAAAUAAUGCAUAUGAAUGUAGGCCAUUAAAAAAAUGUAAGGCAUAAUGUGUAAUAUAGUUAUCCCACAUCGAAACUUAAGAAAUAAUCCAUGUGUAUGUAAGUUGUUGUUAUCCAUUUUAGGGCCUCACAUAAACAAACGAAAAUUAAAAAAAAAGAGAAAAAAAAGAAAAAAAAACAAAUGUUGGAAGAAAAGAAAAUAUAUUAGUGAGAAGAAUAUACCAAAACGCCUAAUAAAUUGUUGAAGACUGGUUGAGGAAGAUCAAAAUAUACAAAAUUAAAAAACUUGAUAAUGUAUUUUUGACUGAUGAAGGCCUUAUUGGCAAAGAAAAUUCAAUCUAAGGAGGAAAAUUUAAAAUUUAAUGUUUAAGAACUCAAUUAGAAAUUUUCAAGGUUAAUUGAAUUAAUUGAGGGCUUAAUUGCAUGAGAAUUUAAUUUUUAAAGUCAAUUUAGGCUUUAUUUGAAAGAAAUUAAAGUCUAGGGGUUGAAUUGUAAUUUUUAAGAGUUAAUUUGGUCUAACCAAGAGUUUAAUUCCAUAAAUAUUAAAGUUUGACAGGCAAUUAGGGACUUGAUUAAAGAAAUACAAAAUCAAGAACCAAACUGAAAAAGACACGUGAAUGUAGGAGCUGAAAUUGACCAAAUCAUGGGCCAGAUUGAAGAAAUUAGAAGUUUAUUGGUCAAUUGAGGGUCGAAAUGUACAAAUUCAGAAUCGAAGACUAAAAUGAAAAUAGCGUUCAACUUUGGGGUUGACAAUUGAGUUUAGCAAUGGUGAAAUUGCAUAAAAUUAAAAGUGUAGAUGCAAUUACGAGCACAAUUAAAAGCAAUUAGAAGAACAAGAAUACAAUUGAAAUUUGACAAUCUCAAAUUAAGAACCUUAAAUGACGUGUCGUUUAGACUUAAUGAAGAGAAGAUGAAUGACACAUCAUUCGUUAGCUUGCAUAUCUAUUUUGACGGUUUUAGCUCAUCUAGUUGGCAACUUCACACAAAUAAAUGUGGAGUUAUUGGCCUUCAAAUUAAACAAAGUUAGAUCUAAAUGAAAGGUGGUCUCAGGCGACGACGAUGUCAGCAUUGCUCCGACAAAGCAUCGAAAAUGGGUAACUCAGUUAGUCUGGACAGUGCAAUCAUCAUGCAAAAAUAGAUUUGUUUUUUGUGUGUUCACACACAAGGGCUCUUUAAUGAGUUCUUAUAAAAGGUUUACAACACUUCCCCUCAAAAUCAAGAGGUCAGAACUGGAUUCAAAACCUCCUAAAACCCUAGCAAAACAUUAUAACUACCCCCCUCAAGAUAAAAAAAAAAAAAGGGACAAAAAAAAGAAUAAGAUAAGAUAAGAAAAAGAAGAGUAAUUCAUGUAUUUCAUAGCUAAUUAUCUUAUUUUAUACCUAAUCCAGUGUAAUCCCUAAUUUAACCUAAAUAAACACUAACUCUAACAAAAUAAUUUUGUUAACUCACAAUCAACAACAACCCAAAACCAUAGAUUAUUUUGCAAAAUAACCUAAUUGUCAAGUCAAAUUAUAGGUUGCAUAUACAUCAAAUUGAUACAGAGAAAGUGUUGCAUAUACCUUUAAGUGUAGAAUGUGGGUGGUGAUGGUGAUUGGUGGUGGUGGUUUUGUCGGGAAAUAGGUUGAUCCACAGUGGAGAGGGAGAGGGAGAGAGGGCGGCGAUCUCAUGCUAGAGAGAGAUAGAGGAGUGAUCUCGUGUUGAUUUGGGUGUGUUUCGCGGUGGGAGAGAAAAAGAAAAAGAGAGGGAAAGGGAGGUCACUAACAACAUGGAGAGGGAAGAGAUAACUGACAACAAGGAGAUAGAGAGGGUAGAAAAAGAGGAGAAAUGGAAAG
This 4402-nucleotide long non-coding RNA is filed under the name Populus trichocarpa (black cottonwood). Its description in RNAcentral is "long non-coding RNA (PTRI_LNC000680)". The record is from RNAcentral. Lineage: Eukaryota; Viridiplantae; Streptophyta; Magnoliopsida; Malpighiales; Salicaceae.